UGGGGAAUUUUGGACAAUGGGCGAAAGCCUGAUCCAGCCAUGCCGCGUGAGUGAAGAAGGCCUUCGGGUUGUAAAGCUCUUUUAGUCGGAAAGAAAGAGUUGCAAUGAAUAAUUGUGAUUUAUGACGGUACCGACAGAAAGAGCACCGGCUAACUACGUGCCAGCAGCCGCGGUAAUACGUAGGGUGCGAGCGUUAAUCGGAAUUACUGGGCGUAAAGGGUGCGCAGGCGGUCUUGCAAGUCAGAUGUGAAAGCCCCGGGCUUAACCUGGGAAUUGCGUUUGAAACUACAAGGCUAGAGUGCAGCAGAGGGGAGUGGAAUUCCAUGUGUAGCAGUGAAAUGCGUAGAGAUGUGGAAGAACACCGAUGGCGAAGGCAGCUCCCUGGGUUGACACUGACGCUCAUGCACGAAAGCGUGGGGAGCAAACA
This 427-nucleotide ribosomal RNA is filed under the name uncultured beta proteobacterium. Its description in RNAcentral is "bacterial SSU rRNA". It matches the Rfam family "Bacterial small subunit ribosomal RNA", at positions 355 to 774 of the family's 1533-position model. Lineage: Bacteria; Pseudomonadati; Pseudomonadota; Betaproteobacteria. The record is from RNAcentral.